UACGAAGGGGGCUAGCGUUGCUCGGAAUCACUGGGCGUAAAGCGCACGUAGGCGGAUUGCUAAGUCAGGGGUGAAAUCCUGGAGCUCAACUCCAGAACUGCCUUUGAUACUGGCGAUCUUGAGUCCGGGAGAGGUGAGUGGAACUGCGAGUGUAGAGGUGAAAUUCGUAGAUAUUCGCAAGAACACCAGUGGCGAAGGCGGCUCACUGGCCCGGUACUGACGCUGAGUUGCGAAUGCGUGGGGAGCAAACAGG
RNAcentral lists this ribosomal RNA (253 nucleotides) under uncultured bacterium. Its description in RNAcentral is "partial 16S ribosomal RNA". It matches the Rfam family "Bacterial small subunit ribosomal RNA", at positions 524 to 776 of the family's 1533-position model. The record is from RNAcentral.